This 195-nucleotide unclassified non-coding RNA is filed under the name uncultured Sebacina. RNAcentral's name for it is "sequence contains ITS2". Lineage: Eukaryota; Fungi; Basidiomycota; Agaricomycetes; Sebacinales; Sebacinaceae. The record is from RNAcentral.
GUACUCUCACACUCUCCGAUUUGGGGAGCGGUGGACUUGGGUGCUUGCUGCUUUCCUUGUGGCUCACCUUAAAUGCAUCAGUGCAUCUCUUGGUUGGACAUAGUACGGCGUGAUAAGUGUCUUCGCCGGCGCCUCAUAAGAGGGUGGCCAACUGGGGCUCUGUGCUUUCAAACCGUCUUCGGACAAUAUCUGACA